GGUGAAAAGCACCCCGGAAGGGGAGUGAAAUAGAACCUGAAACCGUGUGCUUACAAGUAGUCAGAGCCCGUUAAUGGGUGAUGGCGUGCCUUUUGUAGAAUGAACCGGCGAGUUACGAUUUGAUGCAAGGUUAAGCAGUAAAUGUGGAGCCGUAGCGAAAGCGAGUCUGAAUAGGGCGUUUAGUAUUUGGUCGUAGACCCGAAACCAGGUGAUCUACCCUUGGUCAGGUUGAAGUUCAGGUAACACUGAAUGGAGGACCGAACCGACUUACGUUGAAAAGUGAGCGGAUGAACUGAGGGUAGCGGAGAAAUUCCAAUCGAACCUGGAGAUAGCUGGUUCUCUCCGAAAUAGCUUUAGGGCUAGCCUCAAGUGAUGAUUAUUGGAGGUAGAGCACUGUUUGGACGAGGGGCCCCUCUCGGGUUACCGAAUUCAGACAAACUCCGA
Molecule: ribosomal RNA, 444 nt
Filed under: Staphylococcus aureus
Lineage: Bacteria; Bacillati; Bacillota; Bacilli; Caryophanales; Staphylococcaceae
Description: partial 23S ribosomal RNA
Rfam family: Bacterial large subunit ribosomal RNA
Source: RNAcentral